GUGGGGAAUAUUGGGCAAUGGGGGAAACCCUGACCCAGCGACGCCGCGUGAGGGAAGAAGGCCUUAGGGUCGUAAACCUCUGUUGUGUGGGAAGAAGAGCGUGACGGUACCACACGAGGAAGUCCCGGCUAACUACGUGCCAGCAGCCGCGGUAAUACGUAGGGGACGAGCGUUGUCCGGAUUUACUGGGCGUAAAGGGCGCGUAGGCGGUCAUUUAAGUCAGCUGUGAAAUGGUUUGGCUUAACCGGAUCAUGCGGUUGAAACUGGAUGGCUGGAGUGCUGGAGAGGCAAGUGGAAUUCCCAGUGUAGCGGUGAAAUGCGUAGAGAUCGGGAGGAACACCAGUGGCGAAGGCGACUUACUGGACUGUAACUGACGCUGAGGCGCGAAAGUGUGGGGAGCAAACAGGAUUAGAUACCCGAGUAGUCC
This 427-nucleotide ribosomal RNA is filed under the name uncultured bacterium. Its description in RNAcentral is "partial 16S ribosomal RNA". It matches the Rfam family "Bacterial small subunit ribosomal RNA", at positions 354 to 796 of the family's 1533-position model. The record is from RNAcentral.